Molecule: long non-coding RNA, 978 nt
Filed under: Monodelphis domestica (gray short-tailed opossum)
Lineage: Eukaryota; Metazoa; Chordata; Mammalia; Didelphimorphia; Didelphidae
Description: lncRNA (ENSMODG00000047970.1)
Source: RNAcentral
AAUAAUUAAGCAUUUACUAUGCACUUACACAUAGAAAGCAAUAUUUGUUGGUUGAUUUAUUUAUAGUUUCAUGCUCUUUCCAUUUUGCAUUUUGCACAGCAUCAUGACCAUGUAAACUUCAAUAUAACUUGGUAAAAAUAUGGUUCCAUCAACUUUUCUGUGUUGAUAAUGAAGAUUGUUUCUUUUCAGACUAGGCACUACCAUAGAGCUGUUUCUUUAAAAAACAGAAUAGUUUGAUGAGUUUGAUGUCCAUUAUACAUAUUCAUUACCUCUGUGGAGGAAGAGAAAAUGCCGAUGUCAAUCAUAAAUGAAAUAUUUAAGAUGUUUUCUGCAGCCAACCUAAAUAGACACUGGAGUGGUUCACCCUUUCCUUCUCCAGUUCAUUUUACAGAUGAGAAAACUGAGGCAAAUAAGGGACUACCACUCCCAGGAUUAUGUCCCCAAAAAAGUAAGAAAGGAGAUGAAAAGAAAAAGAAGGAAAAGAAAAGAAGAAGAAGAAAAGAAAAGAACUCUUGGACUAAAAUAUUUUCAGCCAACUAUGUUUUUAGUGGCAAAGACCUUGAAAUUAAGGGGUUGCCCAUCAAUUGUGGAAUGUUGAACAAAUUAUGGUUUACAAGUUUUCCUCCUUUUUUCAAUGGGCAUUUACCAUCUGUUAACCCAUAAAAGGGUUUAUGAAUAUAUCUUCCUAGCUAGUACGGAGUUUUUAAAGUUUUUCAGUUUGUAAUGAUGCCUAAUAGUUUCUAUUAUAAUGGGGAAAGGGUUCAUGAGGACCCAGACAGUAUUAGCUUGUGUGGAGAUCUCAGCUUAAUACACAUCCCCUUCCACCAAAUGCAAGAUCAUUAAAGAGAAUCUUUCUGUAAUUUCUAAUGGUGAUGGCCUAAAUCUAAAUCAGCAUCAAAACCCACUCCAUUUCUUCUUCUUUUACUUUUUUAAAACCCUUACCCUCUGUCUUAAUAAAAUUUCUAAGACAGGAGAGCA